CGUCUAUAUACGUAUAGCAUAUCAAUAAGCGGAGGAAAAGAAACUAACUAGGAUUCCCUCAGUAACGGCGAGUGAAGCGGGAAGAGCUCAAAUUUGAAAUCUUCAAGGUUCUACCUUGACGAAUUGUAGUUUAAAGAAGUGUUUUCUGUUGGAAUUUUGGUAAAAGUUCUUUGGAAAUAGGACAUCAAUAGAGGGUGAGAAUCCCGUAUUUGACCAUUAUUUCCAGCUUUGUGAUACACUUUCAAAGAGUCGGAUUGUUUGGGAAUGCAGUCCAAAAUGGGUGGUAAAUUUCAUCUAAAGCUAAAUACUGGCGAGAGACCGAUAGCGAACAAGUACCGUGAGGGAAAGAUGAAAAGAACUUUGAAAAGAGAGUUAAACAGUACGUGAAAUUGUCAAAAGGGAAGCGUUUGACACCAGUGUUGUUUUCUCGAAAAUCAAUUAAAAAUGGCUAGGAUUUUGUGUUGUAUUGACUUUAUCAGCUUUCUGCACUUUUUCUUGUCUUUUUUAAUGCACUUUUCGUUUAACAAGUCAACAUCAAUUUCUUUUGUUGUAAAAGGGUCAUUGGAAGGUGGCUUUCUUUUCGGAGAAAGUGUUUAUAGCCUUUGGCCUCUGCAAUCGGAGAGAUUGAGGUCUGCAGCGUAGAUCCUUCGGGGUUAGAUACACUUUGUGCUAAGUUAUAGCCUUUCAUAGACAACUUGUUGACUAUGAUCAGUCAUGUAGCUUACUCGCUUAUGCUAUUUUACCUACGCUUAGGAUGUUGACGAUCAGCUGAGCGCG
RNAcentral lists this ribosomal RNA (777 nucleotides) under uncultured Neocallimastigales. RNAcentral's name for it is "partial large subunit ribosomal RNA". It matches the Rfam family "Eukaryotic large subunit ribosomal RNA", at positions 26 to 627 of the family's 3401-position model. The record is from RNAcentral. Lineage: Eukaryota; Fungi; Neocallimastigomycota; Neocallimastigomycetes; Neocallimastigales.